Molecule: long non-coding RNA, 2125 nt
Organism: Mastomys coucha (southern multimammate mouse)
Lineage: Eukaryota; Metazoa; Chordata; Mammalia; Rodentia; Muridae
Exons: 2
Source: RefSeq, a predicted model, not a curated record
CUGAAGCAGAUCCAGAGUCCCACAGCCAGAUGUUACACAGUGAGAGACCUUGAAAUGCUCAGCCCUAAAUGGGAUGUCUCCAUCAAACCCCUCCUCUCACAGCUUAUCAAACCCAGCAGAAGAGGAGGAGGAAUGAGCAUAAGAGCCAGAGGGGAUGGAGGACAUCACAGAAAACAAGACCCUCCAAAUCACCAUGAGUAGAGCUCACAUGAACUCAUAGAGACUGAAGCUAGGUGGGUGGAUCUGCAGCAGGUCCUCUGUGAAUAUAUUAUGGCUUCCAGUGUUUUUUAACUCAGAAGACUGUACAAUGAAGACUUGUCCUCCCAGCUCCCAGUCACCCUGAGACAGGGACACCACCAGUGGGCCUUUCCUGUUUCACGUGACCAGUUUCUUGCUCUCCUACAAAUCAAAGGACAAGGGGACUAAAUGGAACACACUGGGAGCCAGUUGCCUUACCUUGUCACUCCACCACGUCACUGCCACAUGCAGGCUAUAGUCACAACAGACUUUCGGGUCUGCCCAGUUGCGCCAGGUCUCAAAGGCCUCGAUGAGGGAGCCGCCUUUCUGAGGAAUGGCAAAAUCAAUGAUCAUGGUGGUGCCUCCUGCCAAAGCAGCCUGCAAUCACAGGAGGGUUUGGUCAGUUGGGUUAGGUUAGAGGUCAUGCUGUGAAAGCUGCACAUCUGUCAGCCCCUUGGCUGAUCUGAUGGGCCCAGGAAAUGUCAAAGAUGCUGCUUUGAAAAAGACCUGAGAGGCAUGAAUAGACGCCCCUAAAAUUAAAGUUUAGAGUCUUAAAAUGCCUGGAGCUACUUCUGAGCAAGAAAGCCUGACUGUAAAGAAAACUGAAGUGGGCGGAUGUGCUGGCUAUUCCCAGUUGUUACACUGGCUAUAUCUGGAAUGAACUACAAUCCAGAAAUGGAGGGCAGACCUGUGAUCCAGCUCUCGAGGCCAUACCUUCUGCUGGAGGCCUACAUAAGGACAAUGGAGGAAGGAAGGCUUUUUUCUUCUUCACCCGAUUGCACUUUACUUGCCAGCACAUCUGUUGGAGCCUCCUUCUUCAGGAUUCCAGCUCACACAGAAGACCAGCUGAAACACUCAGCCUUAUGGGACUGAACAGCUACGAGACUGUUGAACUUCCCAUUCACAGCUGCCCAUUGUUGGGUUAGUUGGACUGCAGAAUGUAAACCAUUCCAAUAAAUUCUCUUACUACAUAGAGACAUUCCUUAAGUUCUAUGACUCCAGAGAGCCCUGAUUAACACAGAGGUUGUGCUGGCUCAUGCCUGCAGUCCCAAUACUUGGGUGGCUGAAGUAGAAAGCUGUGAGUGGAUGUCCAGCCUGGGCUACAGAGUGAGACUUUUUCUCAAGAAACCCUCACAUGGGAAAAGGAGAAAAGAUACAAACCAUUUCAAGAACAAAAACAAAACAAAUCAAACAAAAAAUCUUAUACAUGCUGUAGUAAAAUCCCACUUCCUUGGGAUUCAUUGUAGGGAAUUACAUGGCCAACAGCCCCUGGGAUUGCUGGUGAUGUUUUGUCUUUGAUUUACAUCCGUGGUCACCGCCUAUUCCCACGGCUCUGGUUUUAGCUCAGAAUCUUCUCAUCUCUAGCUGAUUCCCAGUUGGGUAUUUUCUCUCCAGUUCUGCCCUAACAUCAAGCCACAAACCCUCAGUGCAGAGAACAUCUCCAACCUACAGCUGAGCCAUUUGGCUCAACAGGUUAAGGAGGAAGGAGGAACAAAGGGACAGUUUCUCCAACAAGAGGGACGCACUCUGGUUUCAAUAGCCCAGUGGAGAAUGCUGUCAUUAACAGUUGUACUCUGUGUGACUCAUGGACGAGAAGAGAAGAUUUGCAGCAGUGUCCUCACGGCGAAGAGAUGCUAAAUGUCCGAGGCAAUGCUAAUAUGCUAAUUGCCCGGUUUCGAUCAUUACACAAUGUUUACACAGGUAACACACUGCACUCUGUAAGUCUGUGGUUAUUCUGUGCCAACUGGAAAUUUUAGAAAGUUAAUGCUUCUGUUGCCUCUGGGAUGAAGUUUAAUCUUCAUAAACUUGGUCUCUGAGUCCCUGCAUCCUGCCUCAACCCUCGAUAGACCUGGUGGCAUAUUACGCUACAUUACAAGUAAUUUAAAAA